This 441-nucleotide ribosomal RNA is filed under the name uncultured bacterium. RNAcentral's name for it is "bacterial SSU rRNA". It matches the Rfam family "Bacterial small subunit ribosomal RNA", at positions 355 to 792 of the family's 1533-position model. The record is from RNAcentral.
UGAGGAAUAUUGGUCAAUGGACGUAAGUCUGAACCAGCCAAGUAGCGUGCAGGAUUGACGGCCCUAUGGGUUGUAAACUGCUUUUGUUGGGGAGUAAAGUGGGGCACGCGUGCCUUUUUGCAUUUACCCUUCGAAUAAGGACCGGCUAAUUCCGUGCCAGCAGCCGCGGUAAUACGGAAGGUCCAGGCGUUAUCCGGAUUUAUUGGGUUUAAAGGGAGUGUAGGCGGUCUGUUAAGCGUGUUGUGAAAUUUAGGUGCUCAACAUUUAACUUGCAGCGCGAACUGGCGGACUUGAGUGCACGCAACGUAUGCGGAAUUCAUGGUGUAGCGGUGAAAUGCUUAGAUAUCAUGACGAACUCCGAUUGCGAAGGCAGCGUACGGGAGUGUUACUGACGCUUAAGCUCGAAGGUGCGGGUAUCGAACAGGAUUAGAUACCCUGGUA